AGUGAACGCUGGCGGUAGGCCUAACACAUGCAAGUCGAACGGCAGCACAGUAAGAGCUUGCUCUUACGGGUGGCGAGUGGCGGACGGGUGAGGAAUACAUCGGAAUCUACUUUUUCGUGGGGGAUAACGUAGGGAAACUUACGCUAAUACCGCAUACGACCUACGGGUGAAAGCAGGGGAUCUUCGGACCUUGCGCGAUUGAAUGAGCCGAUGUCGGAUUAGCUAGUUGGCGGGGUAAAGGCCCACCAAGGCGACGAUCCGUAGCUGGUCUGAGAGGAUGGUCAGCCACACUGGAACUGAGACACGGUCCAGACUCCUACGGGAGGCAGCAGUGGGGAAUAUUGGACAAUGGGCGCAAGCCUGAUCCAGCCAUACCGCGUGGGCGAAGAAGGCCUUCGGGUUGUAAAGCCCUUUUGUUGGGAAAGAAAAGCAGCAGGUUAAUACCACGCUGUUCUGACGGUACCCAAAGAAUAAGCACCGGCUAACUUCGUG
Molecule: ribosomal RNA, 492 nt
Filed under: uncultured bacterium
Lineage: Bacteria
Description: partial 16S ribosomal RNA
Rfam family: Bacterial small subunit ribosomal RNA
Source: RNAcentral